This is a long non-coding RNA of Amphiprion ocellaris (clown anemonefish), 375 nucleotides long. The record is from Ensembl. NCBI's taxonomy places the organism in Eukaryota, Metazoa, Chordata, Actinopteri, Pomacentridae.
AUUUUUUACACAUGUGAAAACAUGCCAUAUGAUGAAAUAAUGUAAAGUAGGCUGUGAAACACACUCCAGAAAGGUUUUCUUUUAAAAAAAAAAAUCAUCAUGAAUUUUGGCGCAAAAAAACGCCUGACUAUACUAUGUUGAAAAAAACAAUGCGAUUUUUCAAACAUGUUGUAAAACCAUGCCAUAUAAUGAAAUAAUGUAAAGGAGGCCGUGAAAAACACUCCAGAAAGGUUUUCUUUGAAAAAAAAAAUCAUCAUGAAUUUUGGCGCAAAAAAACGCCUUACUAUACUAUGUCGAAAAAAAAUGCGAUUUUUCAACAUGUUGUAAAAACAGUGCCAUAUGAUGAAAUAAUGUAAAGGAGGCCGUGAAAAACAC